RNAcentral lists this long non-coding RNA (220 nucleotides) under Trifolium pratense (red clover). Its description in RNAcentral is "long non-coding RNA (TPRA_LNC003513)". Lineage: Eukaryota; Viridiplantae; Streptophyta; Magnoliopsida; Fabales; Fabaceae. The record is from RNAcentral.
UGCCUUUAGGCCCAUUGCCCAGUCCACAGCCCCCCAAGCAUGAAAUCCGUAGGAAUGAAAUGCUUAAGUACAAUUCGAAUUUCCCUCCAAAAUUCUUGGCGCGCGAUAUACCGCGUUUCUCUCCCACUCUCUGGUGCACGUUCUUACAUUCAUGAGCAACUCUCAUUAACCGUUUCCCCACCUGCUGCCGCCACGAUGAGACUCUCCGUCUAUAAAAGUG